RNAcentral lists this long non-coding RNA (1832 nucleotides) under Phoenix dactylifera (date palm). RNAcentral describes it as "long non-coding RNA (PDAC_LNC005627)". Lineage: Eukaryota; Viridiplantae; Streptophyta; Magnoliopsida; Arecales; Arecaceae. The record is from RNAcentral.
AAAGUGUUGCGCAUGAUAUUGAAACUGUAGUUAUGCUUUGUCCUGUAUGUGGCUCUCUUGUGCCUCUUAAUUAUUUCUUUUAUAUUGCAAACAAAAGACAGCAUUUGCAGGAGAUCUAUAAACAGUCCUGCAUGUUUAAUUUGUUGCUCUUAAUGAAUUAUGUACUGUUCAUGCAGCUCUAGAGGAGAUAAAAAAGCACUUAACUAAAACGGCUGGAAGAGGCUGCAACCAGGGCUGGCAUUGUUAUCGAGGAGAAAAAUUGGCCACCUUUUUUCCCCAUUAUUCAUCAUGAUAUUGCAAAUGAGAUACCCAUCCACCUGCAGAGGUUGCAGUAUUUUGCAUUUACAUCAUUGUUCUACAUGAAUACUGUUUUGAAGCUUCCAUAUGUUUUGGCAUUAUGAAGCUACAGAAGGAAAAAUAGAAAUUUUCGUUAGAAAAUGUUUGAAAUAUAGUAGGAGCAACACCGUUCCAUGCUUGGUGAUAAUUAACUGUAUAUAUGUCAUAACACCGUUCUGUGCUUGGCGAUAAUUAACUAUAUAUAUGUUAUACUUGUUUAUUAAGUUUCUUGAAGCAAACGAUACUAGUUAGUACGUGUUCCAUAUAAUAGAGUGCAAUGAAGUAAUUAAACUAUAAAAUCUUUGACAAAGUCUCAGCAAAUCUGCAUGAAAUUAAUCCACUUGCUGCCAUGGCAAUCUUGAUUUUAAUUAUCAUCUCUUUUUACACAGUCUACCAGAAUUCUCAUACCUUCUUUUAAUUUGUUUCAUGCUAAGGUUACAUUAUUUUUGUGAGAGAAACAUCUCAAACUUUAAGUUUUUCAACUGCCCUGGAAGCUUUGAUGUAUGAAAAGCAGAAAAGCGAGGAUUGUUGACAGAUAUUAUAUUGACAGAACUAUAUAACUAUACUGAUUUGUUUUGAAUCCUUGAACUUCUCUGUAUGGGAAAGUAGGCAACUGAAUUAUAUCAAUCCAAAACAUAGCUGCCACUGAAUUUUUGUAAAGUUCGAUAAAGGAAAUUUAUGAAACUGACUUAUGUCAAUCUACACAUUGAAUAUCUGGCAAAAUGGUAAUGUUAUUGUCUAUUUAAAUUAUUUUCACAGGUUUAUAUGUGUGUUUCUAUAAGAUGAGCCUUCCUGCACAUGUAUAGUCAGGAUAUUGUUGAGUUAUAUCCUUAUGUGAUUUGUCUUAAAUAGUAAAGAGGAGAUUGAAGUGUAUAUUUUUUUGUUUCAUGAUAGAAGCAUCUCUUUUUCUAACUUUCUUUUAUGCGGUCAUAAAGGUUUGCAUAGAUAAUCUAGGCAUUGUGCAUUUUAUUUGCCUUGUCAUGCUGAGUAAUCUGUAGAACUAGCAUAUUGUGCAUGCCAAGUUGUGUAUGUAUAUGAAAGAAGAUUCAGAAGAAGAAUUGUCUUGUUGUUUUAUUUUUCAAAAGUGCUGGUCUGCAUGUUGUCCAGAUUGUUUUCUGUCACUGGGCCAGAAUUUUUUUGCUUACUGUCUUAUCAUGUUUGUGCCAUAUAGGAACUAAAACGGCUGGAAGAGGCUGCAACCAGGGGUAAUAUUUCAUCGUGCUGUUAAUUAUGAAGAUGACUUAUUUGAGGAUAUCUUUGUUGUAUUUUUAUUCAGCAAGUCCCUCUUCUUUUUACUUGAACAGUUGAAUUCUUUUGGUCAUUAGGAAGCUAAGGUAGAUUGAUUGUCAUUGUAGCCUAACUGUUUUUGCAGCUGGCAUUGUUAUCGAGGAGAAAAAUUGGCCACCUUUUUUCCCCAUUAUUCAUCAUGAUAUUGCAAAUGAGAUACCCAUCCACCUGCAGAGGUUGCAGUAUUUUGCAUUUACAUCAUUGUUAGG